This is a long non-coding RNA of Gossypium arboreum, 835 nucleotides long. RefSeq lists it as uncharacterized. Lineage: Eukaryota; Viridiplantae; Streptophyta; Magnoliopsida; Malvales; Malvaceae. The record is from RefSeq and is a predicted model, not a curated record. The transcript has 2 exons.
AAUUUAAAAGAAAACCAAAACAAAACAGUUACAAGAAGGAUUUAAUCACAAUGCGGCGCAAAGGGGAGGGGCCUGCUACAUAAAUAAACCAUUUCAUACGCAAGAGGGUGGAUCCGGGUCUCCAAACGGGCUGACACACGGACCCUAUCCCCCCUUGAAACGGCGCCGUUUUAAUAACAGGCCAUUUAACCUUCCUUUCCCAUUCCUUCCCCAAAACGCAACUAAUCUUUCCAAUUAAAAUAUAUGCUAUCAGCCCAAUCCCUUAGGGUUUCAUCUAGCAGGUGCCGCCAACAAGAGGAGCAUUUGAGUUAUGAAAUCAAUUUGCAGCCUUAAGAUCUCUCCCCUGUUUUCGAUUUCAACGAAACAAAGAAGAUCCAUGGCGAAUUUGCAAAACCCGGCCGUACAGAGGAAACGUGCGAAGGAGGCCGUGCAAGGAUUCACUCGUGGGAGCCUCAACUUUCUAACCGAUUCCAGAAGCUUCUGGUGCCCUCCUCUGCUGCACUCUCUCUUGGUGUUUUGGGCCUCGGGUAUGGGUUUAGGAUUAUUGGGUCAUGGGUUAGGGAUUUUAGAAUUUGGGUUGAAAUUAUAUUUGGGCUGGUAAAAUUUGUAAAAGGACAUUGAUAUUUGGAUUUUUUGUUUGUGUGUUUUUUUUAUUUUUGGUUUUUAAUUUCUAUUUUUUAUUCUAAUGGGCCCGGGCGAAAUGGGCCUAUUACAAGUAAAGUUUUAGAAUUGUGAUUGAUUGAAGAAUUAGAGUCAAGUGUUUGAGCUGUCAUUUGUUUUCGUGUCAAAAGAACGAGUGACAUUCUAAUAUAUUCACUUACUCUGUUAAUCCUAA